GAUGAACGCUCGCUACAGGCUUAACACAUGCAAGUCGAGGGGCAGCAUGGUCUUAGCUUGCUAAGGCCGAUGGCGACCGGCGCACGGGUGAGUAACACGUAUCCAACCUGCCGUCUACUCUUGGACAGCCUUCUGAAAGGAAGAUUAAUACAAGAUGGCAUCAUGAGUCCGCAUGUUCACAUGAUUAAAGGUAUUCCGGUAGACGAUGGGGAUGCGUUCCAUUAGAUAGUAGGCGGGGUAACGGCCGACCUAGUCUUCGAUGGAUAGGGGUUCUGAGAGGAAGGUCCCCCACAUGGGAACUGGGACACGGUCCAAACUCCUACGGGAGGCAGCAGUGAGGAAUAUUGGUCAAUGGGCGCAGGCAUGAACCAGCCAAGUAGCGUGAAGGAUGACUGCCCUAUGGGUUGUAAACUUCUUUUAUAAAGGAAUAAAGUCGGGUAUGUAUACCCGUUUGCAUGUACUUUAUGAAUAAGGAUCGGCUAACUCCGUG
This 490-nucleotide ribosomal RNA is filed under the name uncultured bacterium. RNAcentral's name for it is "partial 16S ribosomal RNA". It matches the Rfam family "Bacterial small subunit ribosomal RNA", at positions 28 to 507 of the family's 1533-position model. The record is from RNAcentral.